Molecule: ribosomal RNA, 480 nt
Filed under: uncultured bacterium
Lineage: Bacteria
Description: bacterial SSU rRNA
Rfam family: Bacterial small subunit ribosomal RNA
Source: RNAcentral
UUGAACGCUGGCGGUAUGCUUUACACAUGCAAGUCGAACGGCAGCACGGGGCAACCUGGUGGCGAGUGGCGAACGGGUGAGUAAUGUAUCGGAACAUAUCCGGAAGUGGGGGAUAACGUACCGAAAGGUACGCUAAUACCGCAUAUGCCCUGAGGGGGAAAGGGGGGGAUCGCAAGACCUCUCGCUUUCGGAGUGGCCGAUAUCGGAUUAGCUAGUAGGUGAGGUAAAGGCUCACCUAGGCGACGAUCCGUAGCUGGUCUGAGAGGACGACCAGCCACACUGGAACUGAGACACGGUCCAGACUCCUACGGGAGGCAGCAGUGGGGAAUUUUGGACAAUGGGCGCAAGCCUGAUCCAGCCAUACCGCGUGAGUGAAGAAGGCCUUCGGGUUGUAAACCGCUUUUGUCAGGGAAGAAACGCUCUGGGCUAAUACCCUGGGGUAAUGACGGUACCUGAAGAAUAAGCACCGGCUAACUACGU